This 305-nucleotide ribosomal RNA is filed under the name uncultured bacterium. RNAcentral's name for it is "bacterial SSU rRNA". It matches the Rfam family "Bacterial small subunit ribosomal RNA", at positions 337 to 657 of the family's 1533-position model. The record is from RNAcentral.
ACCUACGGGGCGCAGCAGUGGGGGAUAUUGCACAAUGGGGGAAACCCUGAUGCAGCGACGCCGUGUGGGCGAAGAAGUAUUUCGGUAUGUAAAGCCCUAUCAGCAGGGAAGAAGAAAUGACGGUACCUGAGUAAGAAGCACCGGCUAAAUACGUGCCAGCAGCCGCGGUAAUACGUAUGGUGCAAGCGUUAUCCGGAUUUACUGGGUGUAAAGGGAGCGCAGGCGGCACGGCAAGCCUGAUGUGAAAGCCCGCGGCCCAACCGCGGGACUGCAUUGGGAACUACCGAGCUGGAGUGCCGGAGAGG